AAGAAAGCAGGGGACCUUCGGGCCUUGCGCUAUGAGAUGAGCUUGCGUCCGAUUAGCUAGUUGGUGGGGUAAAGGCCUACCAAGGCGACGAUCGGUAACUGGUCUGAGAGGAUGAUCAGUCACACUGGAACUGAGACACGGUCCAGACUCCUACGGGAGGCAGCAGUGGGGAAUAUUGGACAAUGGGGGCAACCCUGAUCCAGCCAUGCCGCGUGUGUGAAGAAGGCCUUCGGGUUGUAAAGCACUUUAAGCGGGGAGGAAGGCCUGAUGGCUAAUAUCCAUCGGGAUUGACGUUACCCGCAGAAUAAGCACCG
This 314-nucleotide ribosomal RNA is filed under the name uncultured bacterium. RNAcentral describes it as "bacterial SSU rRNA". It matches the Rfam family "Bacterial small subunit ribosomal RNA", at positions 200 to 495 of the family's 1533-position model. The record is from RNAcentral.